This 242-nucleotide long non-coding RNA is filed under the name Lathyrus oleraceus (garden pea). RNAcentral's name for it is "Pisum sativum (pea) long non-coding RNA (PSAT_LNC015684)". The record is from RNAcentral. Lineage: Eukaryota; Viridiplantae; Streptophyta; Magnoliopsida; Fabales; Fabaceae.
GGGUCUCAUCUGCACCCCUUCAAUAUUCAGUUGUGCUAGGGUAGUCUUAGGCAACACGUUCAAGGAUGAACCUGUAUCUACCAGUACUCGAGCCAAAGUAACAUAUGUACACUGAAUGGAGAUAUGAAUCGCCAUAAUAUGUUCUCACCCAUUAUGGGGUAAAUCAUCAUUAGUGAACAUCAAACAACUAUUAGCAUUGAGAUUAGCAACCACAUCAUCAAACUGAAUAACACUGAUGUCUU